This 449-nucleotide ribosomal RNA is filed under the name Hyphopichia burtonii. Its description in RNAcentral is "partial small subunit ribosomal RNA". The stretch from base 115 to 268 matches the Rfam family "5.8S ribosomal RNA". Lineage: Eukaryota; Fungi; Ascomycota; Pichiomycetes; Serinales; Debaryomycetaceae. The record is from RNAcentral.
CUUCCGUAGGGNGACCUGCGGAAGGAUCAUUAAAAAUUUAAUUGUUUACACGUUUACGUUUAACAUAUACAACUAACCAACUUAAUUAUGUCAACAACAACAACCAAAAAUCAAAACUUUCAACAACGGAUCUCUUGGUUCUCGCAUCGAUGAAGAACGCAGCGAAAUGCGAUAAGUAAUAUGAAUUGCAGAUUUUCGUGAAUCAUCGAAUCUUUGAACGCACAUUGCACCUUGUGGUAUUCCACAAGGUAUGCCUGUUUGAGCGUCAUUUCUCCCUCAACCCCCGCGGGUUGGCGUUGAAUGGCACGAGCUCCUAGUCAGUCCAUUCGAAAAGUAUUUUUCUUGUGUUGUUAUUUUCUAAUUUAGUAGUGACAACCACACUAAAAACACAUUUUCCUCAAAUCAGGUAGGACUACCCGCUGAACUUAAGCAUAUCAAUAAGCGGAGGA